This 122-nucleotide ribosomal RNA is filed under the name Castor canadensis (American beaver). The record is from RNAcentral. Lineage: Eukaryota; Metazoa; Chordata; Mammalia; Rodentia; Castoridae.
GUCUACAGCCAUACCACCCUGAACACACCUGAUCUAGUCUGACCUGGAAGCUAAGCAGGGUGGGGCCCUGCUUGGGGGGGAGGGAUGGGGGAGGAGGAGAGGGGAAGGAAAUCCUGUAAUUU